GGAUGUGAGGGCCAUCUGACUGCGGCAUCUGUCACCCCAUCGAUUGCCAGGGUUGAUUUGUCUCAUCUGACUGGUUAGUCCUGUCCUCCCAAGGUUCCAUGUGUGUGCCUCCCUGAGCUGCUUGGUCUGACCAAGCAGAUGACCUUUCCCAAUAAAGGAGGACCCAGGACAUUUCUUCUAUCAGGUGUCUGCAAGUAGCUUUGCUCCCCUGCUAAAACCUCCAGAUAAGCUCUUGGGAUCCAUUUGUAAGAGAAUGUAAACUAGUCAAGCUUCCAAGAGCCCAGACACAUCCAAAUGAAGCUCUGCGUGUGGCGGUCUCUGCCUUUCUUU
Ursus americanus (American black bear) is the source of this 330-nucleotide unclassified non-coding RNA. Its record names the gene 7SK. It matches the Rfam family "7SK RNA". Rfam says of the family: 7SK was discovered as an abundant small nuclear RNA in the mid-70s but a possible function has only recently been suggested. Two independent studies have found that 7SK RNA binds the CDK9/cyclin T complex (known as elongation factor P-TEFb). NCBI's taxonomy places the organism in Eukaryota, Metazoa, Chordata, Mammalia, Carnivora, Ursidae. The record is from Ensembl.